CUUGGAUCGGCAUUAUCUUGCUGGUACUUCUGAUAUUGGCAGCCGUUAGCAUUGUUUUCUAUCGGUCACUCUCGCGCGAUACUCGGCGAAGAUUGAACGCUAGGCUGCCCACGUUAACGCAACCGGCACAGGGUAAUAAUCGCGUGGACAGAGUCCUUUAAACCGUAAUCACCUUCGCAAGCGAUAUCCCGAGCGAGGCACGUCCUAAAAAAAGGUCGUCUUUUUGAACCUGCAGACCGCGAAGAGCAAAAGAGACGCGAAACAGAAUUUUCCUGCGGAAUUUAUCCUAUUUUCCGAGCUGACCGCCGAAAACGAUAGGCAAUAUGUUUUCUGCGACGGAUGCGACGGUUUCACGUCUGGAACUGAUAAUAACAGGGGUUGCGUACGCGACGAAAGUAGAAACAAAGGUAUCAUAGAGUUUUUAGCGGAAAAGAAGACCAAUGUCGGCACGAACAUGUCCGGAACAACUAUGUCCCGAUCGACAGCCACCUAAAUCGAGAAUUGAAUGCAAUGAAAAAUGUCAAAGAAUAUUUGAUACUAUUAAGAAUACAUUAAAAUUGAUAAGAAAGAAAGGUAGAACGUAAUCGUGGCGGAGUUAAUUGUUAAUUAGGAAUGAUCCAAGGAAUUGCAUAAAAUUGAGAUUCAGUUAUACUCGUUAAUGAGGAGGAUGUGAAUUUUUCGGUUCGAAAGCUGUAAUCGGAGUACGGAAUAUGUAGAAAAUAUGGAAGUUCGUUGGUUUCACGUGUGAAGAAAAUAAAAUAUACUGUGAAGCUUUUUGUGGAAUAUAUAGAGGUGUGAAUAAUUAUAGGUUUGGAAGGUAGAUACUUAAUAUUUUAAUAAAUAAUCAAAUAAAGUAAUCAAAAUCCUUGAGAAUAAUUUUUAUUGUUUUUGAUAUAGAAUCUAAUAAUACACAUCUAUUAUAGUUAAACUACGCUUAUGAGAAACAACUUUGAACCUACAAUUGUUCACGCCACUGUAUAUUUGUAUAGCAAUCAUCAUCUUUUAGUAUAAUUGUAUACGGUGUUGUAAAAAAAUGUUUGCGAAUCAUCCUUUUAAAAUGUGAAACUGUUGGUAGAUGGAGAAUAACGAAAAUUUGAUAUUGCUCCGUGAAAGAAAUUUAUGUAAUUUUAUACGGACGAAGAAACAGAGUGUGAAAAUAAAAUGAAAGUAUUCUAAAUAUUUAUUUUCAAGAGAAUUAAACUGAAGUAAUAAAAUUUGUAUUUACUCCACUAUUAUGCUUUCGGUCGAUGAAGUAGGUUAAUCGUAUAAAUUUAAUUAAUGAACAUAUAAAAUUGAACCACCGUAUAUAUUUUUUUCGUCACAGAAAACAUUUGCGAAACGAUCCUGAUACAAAAUAUUGGCAGGUUCCAGUGUAAAUUUCAAAGUACAAAAUUAUUCGUGACUAUACAAACGAAAGAAAUCAAAAUCAUUGAUUCUGCAAAUGAGUAUUUGAGGCAGAGUUAAUAAAUCAUGACAUGUGUUA
Molecule: long non-coding RNA, 1483 nt
Organism: Hylaeus anthracinus
Lineage: Eukaryota; Metazoa; Arthropoda; Insecta; Hymenoptera; Colletidae
Exons: 3
Source: RefSeq, a predicted model, not a curated record